This 470-nucleotide ribosomal RNA is filed under the name uncultured Pseudomonadota bacterium. RNAcentral's name for it is "bacterial SSU rRNA". It matches the Rfam family "Bacterial small subunit ribosomal RNA", at positions 8 to 522 of the family's 1533-position model. Lineage: Bacteria; Pseudomonadati; Pseudomonadota. The record is from RNAcentral.
AGAGUUUGAUCAUGGCUCAGAGCGAACGCUGGCGGCAGGCCUAACACAUGCAAGUCGAGCGGCCGUAGCAAUACGGCAGCGGCAGACGGGAUAGUAACACGUGGGAACGUACCCUUCAGUUCGGAACAACCCAGGGAAACUUGGGCUAAUACCGAAUACGUCCGUAAGGAGAAAGAUUUAUCGCUGAAGGAUCGGCCCGCGUCUGAUUAGCUAGUUGGUGGGGUAAUGGCCCACCAAGGCGACGAUCAGUAGCUGGUCUGAGAGGAUGAUCAGCAUCACUGGGACUGAGACACGGCCCAGACUCCUACGGGAGGCAGCAGUGGGGAAUAUUGGACAAUGGGCGCAAGCCUGAUCCAGCCAUGCCGCGUGGAUGAUGAAGGCCCUAGGGUUGUAAAGUCCUUUCGGCGGGGAAGAUAAUGACGGUACCCGCAGAAGAAGCCCCGGCUAACUUCGUGCCAGCAGCCGCGGUA